AUUGAACGCUGGCGGCAUGCCUUACACAUGCAAGUCGAACGGCAGCGCGGGAGCAAUCCUGGCGGCGAGUGGCGAACGGGUGAGUAAUAUAUCGGAACGUGCCCAGUAGUGGGGGAUAGCCGGCGAAAGCCGGAUUAAUACCGCAUGAGACCUGAGGGUGAAAGCGGGGGAUCGCAAGACCUCGCGCUAUUGGAGCGGCCGAUAUCAGAUUAGCUAGUUGGUGGGGUAAAGGCCUACCAAGGCAACGAUCUGUAGUUGGUCUGAGAGGACGACCAGCCACACUGGGACUGAGACACGGCCCAGACUCCUACGGGAGGCAGCAGUGGGGAAUUUUGGACAAUGGGCGCAAGCCUGAUCCAGCAAUGCCGCGUGCAGGAAGAAGGCCUCGG
Molecule: ribosomal RNA, 389 nt
Filed under: uncultured bacterium
Lineage: Bacteria
Description: bacterial SSU rRNA
Rfam family: Bacterial small subunit ribosomal RNA
Source: RNAcentral